Molecule: transfer RNA, 78 nt
Filed under: bacterium
Lineage: Bacteria
Also listed under: 1 other name
Description: tRNA-Glu
Rfam family: tRNA
About the family: Transfer RNA (tRNA) molecules are approximately 80 nucleotides in length.
Source: RNAcentral
GGCGGCAUCGUCUAGCCAGGUCCAGGAUACCUGGUUCUCAGCCAGGAGACCGGGGUUCAAAUCCCCGUGCCGCUACCA